AGGUCUGCUUUUCCCAUAAGAGAUUGAGCAUGGCCUUUCAUGAUGCCCCUUUUUUUCCAGAUGUAACCAGAUGUGGUGUUUCUGGUGAGAGGCUCUGGGCUAGCCUGUCAUGUCAGUGCAGUCAUGUCUUUGCACUUGAAUUGCUUCUGGGGCAAGCCAGCAUUGUUGUGCAUGCAGUGUUGGCAGGCAGUUCCCUCGCUGUGGCCAGAGAGCAGGAGCUCUGAGCCGAGCCAUGGCAGACGACCUUGGAGGAAUUGGGCUGUGUUCCUAACAAGGCACCCCUUUUUUUGAACAGGUGAAAACCCACCUUUCUGCCACACCCAUGUAUAACUUGUCUGGGGGCAGAUGUCUGUCAGGGCUGCUUUUUGCUGUCCUGAGAAUAUAACAAAAGGUUAGCAAAAUAUUUAAACUGUAACAUAUUCACAGGCUGAGUGCACAAGGUUUAUUUAAAGGAAGAGAGUGCUAUUAAUGGAAAGCAUGUGGUUUACUUUUUUCCCCCCAAAGUGGGAAUGUUACUUUGGGAUUUGGCAUGCUCUUCCAUACAGUAAGUGAAAUGAAGAGAGAAAGGUUUGGGGAAACUUUCCAUACAUUCAUGUCCACUUUCUCUCACACAAGGUGAGAAAACUUACUGAUUAUUGUAUUUUGUGUGCUCAUAUUUUACUUGCUAGCUUUUGAGCAGUAUUUUUAAUUUUUCCUUUACAACCAAAAUAUGCUUUUGUCUCCUUUAUAGUAGCGAUACAUUGAUAAUCUGAAUUAAGUGCAAAUUAUGGGUGCUGAUUAGGAGUGAUAGGAGAAAAAGACAAUACAGCUGUUGCAAAUGCUUCAUGAUACUAAACUGCCAAUUUUAAAGUUCAUUUCCUUGCAUUUAAAGUGAAAUGUUUAAAGUAACCAUGUGUAGCUGGAAAUGUUGCUAUACUUAAAAAAAAAGAUCAUAUCAUACGCGAUACUUGGUUGUCAUUGUGUCAAUUAUGGCUUGUCAGGCUACAUUAGUCUUUGAUAUCUGACAUUUGUGGAAGGUUUUUAUACUUCUCAGUGCUUUUUAGCACUCUCCUGUGUGUUUGGUACUUGCAGGGUUGAAUAAGGUACUCAGCUCUACAGUAUAAUAUUGGCAAGACUGGUAAAAUGUUGCAUGAGUCAAGCAAAUGUUGUACCAGGUCUUUGCAUGAUCCCGGGGGAGUGGGCAAUGGCCCUACCAAAAAUGAGAAUGGCAACUUGCAGUGUGGC
RNAcentral lists this long non-coding RNA (1224 nucleotides) under Anser brachyrhynchus (Pink-footed goose). RNAcentral's name for it is "lncRNA (ENSABRG00000013287.1)". Lineage: Eukaryota; Metazoa; Chordata; Aves; Anseriformes; Anatidae. The record is from RNAcentral.